GAUUAACGCUGGCGGCGUGCAUAACACAUGCAAGUCGAACGAGGAAACGUAGUAGACUUCUUCGGAAAGACACGAAGCGGAGUAGUGGCGAACGGGUGAGUAACGCGUGAGUAACCUGCCUUACACAAGGGGAUAGCCAUUGGACACGAAGAAUAAUACCCUAUAAAACCAUAAAAGCACAUGCUAGAAUGGUCAAAGUGAUAGCGGGGUAAGAUGGACUUGCGUCUGAUUAGCUAGUUGGGGAGAUAAAAGCUCACCAAGGCGACGAUCAGUAGCCGGCUUGAGGGAUUGGACCGCCACAUUGGGACUGGGACCCGGCCCGGACUCCUGCGGGAGGCAGCAGUGGGGAAUUUUGCACACUGGGGGAAACCCUGAUGCAGCGACGCCGCGUGAUUUAGAAGGCCUUCGGGUUGUAAAAAUCUUUUGUAUAGGAAGAAAAUGACAGUACUAUACGAAUAAGGUCCGGCUAAUUACGUG
RNAcentral lists this ribosomal RNA (477 nucleotides) under uncultured bacterium. Its description in RNAcentral is "partial 16S ribosomal RNA". It matches the Rfam family "Bacterial small subunit ribosomal RNA", at positions 28 to 507 of the family's 1533-position model. The record is from RNAcentral.